This 75-nucleotide transfer RNA is filed under the name Thermodesulfatator sp. RNAcentral's name for it is "tRNA-Gln". It matches the Rfam family "tRNA". From Rfam's summary of the family: Transfer RNA (tRNA) molecules are approximately 80 nucleotides in length. Their secondary structure includes four short double-helical elements and three loops (D, anti-codon, and T loops). The record is from RNAcentral. Lineage: Bacteria; Pseudomonadati; Thermodesulfobacteriota; Thermodesulfobacteria; Thermodesulfobacteriales; Thermodesulfatatoraceae. RNAcentral also lists the same sequence under 1 other name.
UGGGGGAUCGUCUAAUCGGCAGGACGGCAGACUCUGGAUCUGCUAGUCGGGGUUCGAAUCCCUGUCCCCCAGCCA